UACGAAGGGGGCUAGCGUUGCUCGGAAUUACUGGGCGUAAAGCGCACGUAGGCGGCUCUUUAAGUCGGGGGUGAAAUCCUGGAGCUCAACUCCAGAACUGCCUUCGAUACUGUAGAGCUUGAGUUCGGGAGAGGUGAGUGGAACUGCGAGUGUAGAGGUGAAAUUCGUAGAUAUUCGCAAGAACACCAGUGGCGAAGGCGGCCAACUGGACGAAUACUGACGCUGAGACACGAAAGCGUGGGGAGCAAACAGG
This 253-nucleotide ribosomal RNA is filed under the name uncultured bacterium. RNAcentral's name for it is "partial 16S ribosomal RNA". It matches the Rfam family "Bacterial small subunit ribosomal RNA", at positions 524 to 776 of the family's 1533-position model. The record is from RNAcentral.